Molecule: ribosomal RNA, 492 nt
Filed under: uncultured bacterium
Lineage: Bacteria
Description: partial 16S ribosomal RNA
Rfam family: Bacterial small subunit ribosomal RNA
Source: RNAcentral
GAUGAACGCUAGCUACAGGCUUAACACAUGCAAGUCGAGGGGAAACGACAUCGAAAGCUUGCUUUUGAUGGGCGUCGACCGGCGCACGGGUGAGUAACGCGUAUCCAACCUGCCCAUCACUUGGGAAUAACCUUGCGAAAGUAAGACUAAUACCCAAUGACAUCCCACGAAGACAUCUGAAUGGGAUUAAAGAUUUAUCGGUGAUGGAUGGGGAUGCGUCUGAUUAGCUUGUUGGCGGGGUAACGGCCCACCAAGGCAACGAUCAGUAGGGGUUCUGAGAGGAAGGUACCCCACAUUGGAACUGAGACACGGUCCAAACUCCUACGGGAGGCAGCAGUGAGGAAGAUUGGUCAAUGGGCGAGAGCCUGAACCAGCCAAGUAGCGUGCAGGAUGACGGCCCUAUGGGUUGUAAACUGCUUUUAUAAGGGAAUAAAGUGGGUCUCGUGAGACUUUUUGCAUGUACCUUAUGAAUAAGGACCGGCUAAUUCCGUG